RNAcentral lists this unclassified non-coding RNA (205 nucleotides) under Hevea brasiliensis (rubber tree). The record is from RNAcentral. Lineage: Eukaryota; Viridiplantae; Streptophyta; Magnoliopsida; Malpighiales; Euphorbiaceae.
GUCAGCAUCACUAUUAUUAUCAUGUUUCUUUACCAAACUAGUACUUGGACUUAUUGGGCCAUUCUGCUUAAUUUGUGGCCCUCUCUUUUUCUUUGUCUGAGAACAAUUUGAUUCCAAAUUACAUUGCGACUCUUUGACAUAUGACCCUAUACUAUUGUUGAUAGCAGGAUCUACACUCAUAUCUCCAUCCAAGGGUGAAUUUCUC